GAUGAACGCUGGCGGCGUGCCUAAUACAUGCAAGUCGAGCGACAAGACGAGGAGCUUGCUCCUCUAACGUUAGCGGCUGACGGGUGAGUAACACGUGGAUAACCUACCUAUUAGACUGGGAUAACUUCGGGAAACCGGUGCUAAUAACGGCUCAUAUAUUGAACCGCAUGGUUCAAUAGUGAAAGACGGUUUUGCUGUCACUUAUAGAUGGAUCCGCGCCGCAUUAGCUAGUUGGUAAGGUAACGGCUUACCAAGGCAACGAUGCGUAGCCGACCUGAGAGGGUGAUCGGCCACACUGGAACUGAGACACGGUCCAGACUCCUACGGGAGGCAGCAGUAGGGAAUCUUCCGCAAUGGGCGAAAGCCUGACGCAGCAAUGCCGCGUGAGUGAUGAAGGUCUUCGGAUCGUAAAACUCUUUUAUUAGGGAAGAACAAAUGUGGAAGUAACUAUGCACGUCUUGACGGUACCUAAUCAGAAAGCCACGGCUAACUACGUG
RNAcentral lists this ribosomal RNA (497 nucleotides) under uncultured bacterium. Its description in RNAcentral is "partial 16S ribosomal RNA". It matches the Rfam family "Bacterial small subunit ribosomal RNA", at positions 28 to 507 of the family's 1533-position model. The record is from RNAcentral.